UCUUUCCUUGCCGCCUCUACUGGUCGUUUUCGAUUUGGAGUCCUCUUUGCUGCUACCUCCUAUAAAUACUGGUGGGCGUUCGACUCUCAUCCUGCUCGCUGCUGUCUGCCCUCUUUUUUCUCUGCUCAGUGCUAGCCUCUCUUGGUCCAGCGAUGGUUUCUCCUGGUGCUUCUGCGUCCGGCCGCUGCCGGCGGGGCUGUCCUCCUGGGAUUCGGGCUGCUGUCAUUGCUCGCGUUCGCCGUGUUGCCGACCGUCUUUCCUCGCCGGAUUCUCCGUUAGCGACGUCAGAUGCUGGUGCGCGUGGCCGGCCGGCUAAUUCAGGCUGCCGUGUCCGGUCCGGGGCUCGCCGGCCGUUUCGUUCUUCCCGGGCUGAUUCGCGGCGAGAUGUUAAUGUGGACGUUGAUAGUCGUCGUCGGAAGAUUUCAUUAGGGAAGCGGCCUGUGGAUUGUACUAUUGGUGUGCUCUCGAUUCUUGCUGCAUGUAUGGGAGUGCCUCUGCUGCCGUUAGCGCGGGCUCUUCUUUAGCGGUCGGUGGGUCUGUCCCGGCUGUUUGGCCUGCCAGCGUGCGACCUGGAUGUUUUCUUCUUUCUUUGAUGCUUAGCUCACUUAUUUUAUGCCUUUGGUGUUGUUCUAUCUAGCCGUUUGGUGUUGUGCUUAUUGGUAGGAUUCUAAUGUGGUCCAUCUAUUGGUUGCUUGCAGGUAUUUUGCCUGUCGAAGUGAUUGACAGCACGAGUGCUUCUGUUUCUGGUUUUCCUGCUGGUGUUCAUCUUUAUGGCUCUUUGGUUGGUGAUACGACUUUGCGUUGCCGUCUUAGAGUGGUGCCUUUAUGUGCCGCUGGUACCUUUGGUCGGCCUACUCCUCUUGGUAAGUCCAAUUCUCUAAAUAUGCGUGUACUUCUUUUGGGUUUUGUGGUGUUUUUCUAGGAUUGGUUCUAAUUUGUGUACGUGUUUGCCAUUUGAGUGAUGCCUACUCAUGUUAUGGAGCACUCUCGUGUUGUGUGUGCUCGCCGUAAGCGGAUUUUGGUGCGAUCGUACUGGUCGGGCCGGAAAAGAGUAUGUGGGAUGCAACCUUCCUUUUCUAAAGAUUACAUCCAACUGCUUAAGGCUACUUUUAGGGGGCGUUCAUAUUAUGGUGGACCGGAUUUGUGCUGCCAGAAAUGUGGGGCUUUUUUUGGUUCCGUGAAGGAUCUGUUUAUCAUGCUGACGCUACUUCUCGCUCUCCUGUCUACACGGGUUGUUGUCGAGCGGGCAGGAUUUCGUUGCCAAAGUUUGCUGACUGGCCCUCUCCUUUGGAUAGAUUGAUGUGUUUUGAUGGUGAUGCGGGUUCCUCUCGUUUCAUGCGGUUAAUACGUCAAUAUAAUUCUAUGUUCUGUUUUACAUCGUUGGGUGCACAAGUUGACCAUAGUAUCAAUGUUGGAGGUGCUCCAUACGUUUUCAAGAUGAAUGGGGUGGUUUACCAUCGUAUUGGUUCGUUGUUGCCGGCUGGCGGUGCACCACCAAAGUUUGCGCAACUGUAUAUGGUGGAUUCUGCUGACGAGUUGGACUGUAGGUUGAAUGUGUUUGACAGAGAAGAAACUAGCUCACUUGAGCCCGAUCCUGAAAUUGUUUCUUCAUUGAUAGACAUGCUUAAUAUGCAUCACCGUCUGGUGCACAAAUUUAGAAUUGCACGACAGAGUCUGUGUACUCCUGGUGUUUCUGAUGUCUCAAUUCGUUUCUUGAGCAGCGAUGGCGGUGCUCAUGGUACGCGUUUCUCCGGUCCUACCACUUCUGAAGUGGCUGCGCUUAUAGUUGGUGAUCUCAUGGAUAGUGCAAGCAUCCAGCCCUGAAUUUUAAUCAUGGAAAUGGAAAUAGUUCGCAGGAAAAUCUUAUGAUUUAUAUCUCAAGACGGCCAAUGCUUGAAAAGUUAGUGAAACAAUUGGGUUGAAAGUACAAGGCUAUACAUAUUGGUACGUCCAUCAAGGUAUGAUGCAAGCAUCUGUACUAAUUGGCCUACCACGCGAAGAAGAUAGUUUUAGAGAAUCUUCCAUCACAUAUGAAGGGGAGGCAGCUAAUACAGAAGAUGAAGCAAUGGAGAAAGCAGCUCAAGUGGCCUUAGAAUGUAUUUGUGCAGACUAUAAUAUUUCUGUCAAUGAUCACAAUUACUAUGCCCUUGAAGUCACAAAAGAAAGAUUGCUUACAACAAGAGAGAAAGCUCAAACAAAACAAUGGCAGUUCAACAUGGCGCGCCAGCAAGUAACUACGCAGCAGAAUGAAUUUGCAAGACAAACAAUGAUUCUGGCAAAGAUAUGCAAUAGCUUUUUUGAUAUACUGCCACUUCGUAUGUACCCCCAGCGUCCAGAAAGCAGUGAUCCCAUUAUUACAUACACGGGCGCACACCCUCCCGUCGGACGUAUGGAAGAACUUGCAAAAUCACUUUAUCACUUUAUCACAGGCACCAAUCCUGCAGGAGGCUACACCAGAAUGAUCUAAUUUACUAUCAACUACUUCUAGCUUAUCUACGUAAUAUGUUUGUGUUUCUAUAUACAGUUCUCUGUCUACAGCGAGUUGUAUGUAGUUUAAAUAAUUUGUUUGCCUCAAGUGUGUACCACUUUUAAUUUGCAGCUUUGUAACCCUGCAUGAUGGAGUCAUGUACCUAGGGUAGGGUCACAGACCUGAUCUAAGUACCCUGCCCAAGGAC
Triticum aestivum (bread wheat) is the source of this 2675-nucleotide long non-coding RNA. RefSeq lists it as uncharacterized. The record is from RefSeq and is a predicted model, not a curated record. Lineage: Eukaryota; Viridiplantae; Streptophyta; Magnoliopsida; Poales; Poaceae. The transcript is spliced from 6 exons.